AAUGAACGCUGGCGGCGUGCCUAACACAUGCAAGUCGAACGAGAAAGCAGGCUUCGGUCUGCAAGUAAAGUGGCAUACGGGUGAGUAACACGUGGGUAACCUGCCCGGAGGUCGGGGGACAACUCUUCGAAAGGAGAGCUAAUACCGCAUGACAUCCCGAGGACCUCGGUCCACGGGAUCAAAGAUUGCCUCUGUUUCAUGCAAUCGCCACCGGAGGGACCCGCGCCCCAUUAGCUUGAUGGUGAGGUAACGGCUCACCAUGGCUACGAUGGGUAGCCGGCCUGAGAGGGUGAUCGGCCACACUGGAACUGAGACACGGUCCAGACUCCUACGGGAGGCAGCAGUGAGGAAUUUUGCGCAAUGGGGGAAACCCUGACGCAGCGACGCCGCGUGGAGGACGAAGGCCUUCGGGUCGUAAACUCCUGUCAAGAGGGACGAAUCCCCAACGGAUGAAUAAGCCGCUGGGUUGACGGUACCUCUGAAGGAAGCCCCGGCUAACUCCGUG
RNAcentral lists this ribosomal RNA (505 nucleotides) under uncultured bacterium. Its description in RNAcentral is "bacterial SSU rRNA". It matches the Rfam family "Bacterial small subunit ribosomal RNA", at positions 29 to 507 of the family's 1533-position model. The record is from RNAcentral.